GAUGAAGAACGUAGUGAAAUGCGAUAAGUAGUGUGAAUUGCAGAAUUCCGUGAAUCAUCGAAUCUUUGAACGCACAUUGCGCCUUCUGGUAUUCCGGAAGGCAUGCCUGUUCGAGAGUCAUUAACAACCGUUUCGAUCCCUUUCUUUCAGAAAUUACAAAGAGGAAAAGGGUUUGGUUAUGGUGGAGGAGGGAAAGGGAGCGUUUAGCCUGUAAAAAAAGAGGCUGUGUUCCGCCUCCCCCCCAAAAUUGUACAGGCGGUCGUGUGCGCCCACGCAUCGAGGUGUUGUAAAAGCUGCCACGGCACUUUUCACCUGUGCAGUGCGGGAUUGGCCAGCCGGUUUAAAAACCCCUCCAAACAAUCAAAGGUUGACCUCGGAUCAGGUAGGGAUACCCGCUGAACUUAAGCAUAUCAAUAAGCGGAGGA
RNAcentral lists this unclassified non-coding RNA (425 nucleotides) under soil metagenome. RNAcentral's name for it is "partial contains 5.8S ribosomal RNA, internal transcribed spacer 2, and large subunit ribosomal RNA". The stretch from base 1 to 120 matches the Rfam family "5.8S ribosomal RNA", at positions 35 to 154 of the family's 154-position model. The record is from RNAcentral.